CCCCCAAAUUUCUGAGAGAGAAGAUGAACGCUCAGAGCAGCCAACAGCAAUCCAGCGACGGACGCCACGAUGACGAUGCUGCACUUACCGAUUUUCUAGCUUCUUUGAUGGAUUAUACACCCACUAUUCCAGAUGAACUGGUAGAGCAUUAUUUAGCGAAAAGCGGAUUCCAGUGCCCCGAUGUCCGAUUGACAAGACUGGUGGCAGUUGCUACACAGAAAUUUAUUGCUGACGUGGCAACUGAUGCUCUUCAGCAGUGUAAGGCAAGGCAGUCAGCUGUCGUCAAGGACAAAAGAGAUAAGCAGCAAAAGGAUAAGCGACUAAUAUUGACAAUGGAGGAUCUUUCCAAGGCACUGCAGGAGUAUGGUGUGAAUGUCAAACAUCAAGAUUAUUUUGCUGAUAGCCCUUCUGCUGGGUUAGAUCCCGCGGCAAGAGAUGAGUGAGUGUAGCGUGAGCUUAAUUCUGUAUGGUUCAACCAAUUCAAAAUUGCAAUGAAAAUUAGACAAACAAUUGCUUACGGAGUUCAUUAAUUUGAUGUGAUAUGCUUAUCUACAUGAAGAUGCAUUCAUGUUUAAGUUUGAGCAAAGAUUUACCUUUUGCGAAAGCAAUACUGAUUCUAACUACCGUUCAUGUAUGAUGUUGAUCCAUGUAUAUACACAGAUGAGCUGCCACUGAAUUUAUUUGUCAAGUGGAAGGUUGGUGUGCAGUACUGGAAAUGACUGAAAAGUUCAUUACAUGUUUAGUUCCAUUACUAUUGUGUACGGAAUGUAUCUUGAAACAUCAUACACUAUUCAUUUUGUUGUUGAGAAUGAAUCUUUGUUUGCCCAUGCAAUAACUGUGAUUCCUACUUUUUCUA
RNA transcript from Olea europaea var. sylvestris, 856 nucleotides. It is a transcript of the gene named transcription initiation factor TFIID subunit 10, with no coding region annotated. NCBI's taxonomy places the organism in Eukaryota, Viridiplantae, Streptophyta, Magnoliopsida, Lamiales, Oleaceae. The transcript has 7 exons. The record is from RefSeq and is a predicted model, not a curated record.